GGGGGCGUAACGGCUUCGACGGGAGCGGUCAGCGUCCGAUGAGACGAGCCGAGUUUGCUGGAGACUCGUAAAACGCCGGCACAUAAACAUACACGCCAACGACGACAAGGCUUUGGCUCUCGCCGCUUAAAUAAUAGUGGCGCAUCGGUCCGGGCAGCCCACGGCCCGGUUCCCGGUGUCAUCUUAGUGGGCUCACCUCAAGAGUCCUGGCCCGGGGCUCUGGGGGGACACUCAACGGGCUAGCCCCUCCGUGGCGCCCCGGUCUGCGGAGGUAGGCGAAAAGAAACCGGGAGCGACGCUCGUACAAUCUCACGGACGACGCGCUCGCGGACGCGGGUUCGAAUCCCGCCGCCUCCACUA
This 360-nucleotide transfer-messenger RNA is filed under the name Actinomycetota bacterium. It matches the Rfam family "transfer-messenger RNA". From Rfam's summary of the family: Bacterial tmRNA, also known as 10Sa RNA or SsrA, is named for its dual tRNA and mRNA-like properties. Lineage: Bacteria; Bacillati; Actinomycetota. The record is from RNAcentral.